AGCGUACACGGUGGAUGCCCUGGCAGUCAGAGGCGAUGAAGGACGUGCUAAUCUGCGAUAAGCGUCGGUAAGGUGAUAUGAACCGUUAUAACCGGCGAUUUCCGAAUGGGGAAACCCAGUGUGUUUCGACACACUAUCAUUAACUGAAUCCAUAGGUUAAUGAGGCGAACCGGGGGAACUGAAACAUCUAAGUACCCCGAGGAAAAGAAAUCAACCGAGAUUCCCCCAGUAGCGGCGAGCGAACGGGGAGCAGCCCAGAGCCUGAAUCAGUGUGUGUGUUAGUGGAAGCGUCUGGAAAGGCGCGCGAUACAGGGUGACAGCCCCGUACACAAAAAUGCACAUGCUGUGAGCUCGAUGAGUAGGGCGGGACACGUGGUAUCCUGUCUGAAUAUGGGGGGACCAUCCUCCAAGGCUAAAUACUCCUGACUGACCGAUAGUGAACCAGUACCGUGAGGGAAAGGCGAAAAGAACCCCGGCGAGGGGAGUGAAAAAGAACCUGAAACCGUGUACGUACAAGCAGUGGGAGCACGCUUAGGCGUGUGACUGCGUACCUUUUGUAUAAUGGGUCAGCGACUUAUAUUCUGUAGCAAGGUUAACCGAAUAGGGGAGCCGAAGGGAAACCGAGUCUUAACUGGGCGUUAAGUUGCAGGGUAUAGACCCGAAACCCGGUGAUCUAGCCAUGGGCAGGUUGAAGGUUGGGUAACACUAACUGGAGGACCGAACCGACUAAUGUUGAAAAAUUAGCGGAUGACUUGUGGCUGGGGGUGAAAGGCCAAUCAAACCGGGAGAUAGCUGGUUCUCCCCGAAAGCUAUUUAGGUAGCGCCUCGUGAAUUCAUCUCCGGGGGUAGAGCACUGUUUCGGCAAGGGGGUCAUCCCGACUUACCAACCCGAUGCAAACUGCGAAUACCGGAGAAUGUUAUCACGGGAGACACACGGCGGGUGCUAACGUCCGUCGUGAAGAGGGAAACAACCCAGACCGCCAGCUAAGGUCCCAAAGUCAUGGUUAAGUGGGAAACGAUGUGGGAAGGCCCAGACAGCCAGGAUGUUGGCUUAGAAGCAGCCAUCAUUUAAAGAAAGCGUAAUAGCUCACUGGUCGAGUCGGCCUGCGCGGAAGAUGUAACGGGGCUAAACCAUGCACCGAAGCUGCGGCAGCGACGCUUAUGCGUUGUUGGGUAGGGGAGCGUUCUGUAAGCCUGUGAAGGUGUGCUGUGAGGCAUGCUGGAGGUAUCAGAAGUGCGAAUGCUGACAUAAGUAACGAUAAAGCGGGUGAAAAGCCCGCUCGCCGGAAGACCAAGGGUUCCUGUCCAACGUUAAUCGGGGCAGGGUGAGUCGACCCCUAAGGCGAGGCCGAAAGGCGUAGUCGAUGGGAAACAGGUUAAUAUUCCUGUACUUGGUGUUACUGCGAAGGGGGGACGGAGAAGGCUAUGUUGGCCGGGCGACGGUUGUCCCGGUUUAAGCGUGUAGGCUGGUUUUCCAGGCAAAUCCGGAAAAUCAAGGCUGAGGCGUGAUGACGAGGCACUACGGUGCUGAAGCAACAAAUGCCCUGCUUCCAGGAAAAGCCUCUAAGCAUCAGGUAACAUCAAAUCGUACCCCAAACCGACACAGGUGGUCAGGUAGAGAAUACCAAGGCGCUUGAGAGAACUCGGGUGAAGGAACUAGGCAAAAUGGUGCCGUAACUUCGGGAGAAGGCACGCUGAUAUGUAGGUGAAGUCCCUCGCGGAUGGAGCUGAAAUCAGUCGAAGAUACCAGCUGGCUGCAACUGUUUAUUAAAAACACAGCACUGUGCAAACACGAAAGUGGACGUAUACGGUGUGACGCCUGCCCGGUGCCGGAAGGUUAAUUGAUGGGGUCAGCGCAAGCGAAGCUCUUGAUCGAAGCCCCGGUAAACGGCGGCCGUAACUAUAACGGUCCUAAGGUAGCGAAAUUCCUUGUCGGGUAAGUUCCGACCUGCACGAAUGGCGUAAUGAUGGCCAGGCUGUCUCCACCCGAGACUCAGUGAAAUUGAACUCGCUGUGAAGAUGCAGUGUACCCGCGGCAAGACGGAAAGACCCCGUGAACCUUUACUAUAGCUUGACACUGAACAUUGAGCCUUGAUGUGUAGGAUAGGUGGGAGGCUUUGAAGUGUGGACGCCAGUCUGCAUGGAGCCGACCUUGAAAUACCACCCUUUAAUGUUUGAUGUUCUAACGUUGACCCGUAAUCCGGGUUGCGGACAGUGUCUGGUGGGUAGUUUGACUGGGGCGGUCUCCUCCUAAAGAGUAACGGAGGAGCACGAAGGUUGGCUAAUCCUGGUCGGACAUCAGGAGGUUAGUGCAAUGGCAUAAGCCAGCUUGACUGCGAGCGUGACGGCGCGAGCAGGUGCGAAAGCAGGUCAUAGUGAUCCGGUGGUUCUGAAUGGAAGGGCCAUCGCUCAACGGAUAAAAGGUACUCCGGGGAUAACAGGCUGAUACCGCCCAAGAGUUCAUAUCGACGGCGGUGUUUGGCACCUCGAUGUCGGCUCAUCACAUCCUGGGGCUGAAGUAGGUCCCAAGGGUAUGGCUGUUCGCCAUUUAAAGUGGUACGCGAGCUGGGUUUAGAACGUCGUGAGACAGUUCGGUCCCUAUCUGCCGUGGGCGCUGGAGAACUGAGGGGGGCUGCUCCUAGUACGAGAGGACCGGAGUGGACGCAUCACUGGUGUUCGGGUUGUCAUGCCAAUGGCACUGCCCGGUAGCUAAAUGCGGAAGAGAUAAGUGCUGAAAGCAUCUAAGCACGAAACUUGCCCCGAGAUGAGUUCU
This 2773-nucleotide ribosomal RNA is filed under the name Escherichia coli. Its description in RNAcentral is "bacterial LSU rRNA". It matches the Rfam family "Bacterial large subunit ribosomal RNA". Lineage: Bacteria; Pseudomonadati; Pseudomonadota; Gammaproteobacteria; Enterobacterales; Enterobacteriaceae. RNAcentral also lists the same sequence under 1 other name. The record is from RNAcentral.